RNAcentral lists this ribosomal RNA (478 nucleotides) under uncultured bacterium. RNAcentral describes it as "SSU rRNA". It matches the Rfam family "Bacterial small subunit ribosomal RNA", at positions 26 to 521 of the family's 1533-position model. The record is from RNAcentral.
AGGAUGAACGCUGGCGGCGUGCCUAACACAUGCAAGUCGAACGUCCUGUCUCGCAAGAGGCAGGGAGUGGCGGACGGGUGAGUACCACGUGGGUCAUCUACCGUGAGGUGAGGAAUACCGGCGAGAAAUCGCCGACAAGACCGCAUAGGCUCGAUGCAAGUCGAGCAAAGCUCUCUCGAGAGAGGGAGCGCCACACGAGGAGCCUGCGCCCGAUUAGCUAGCUGGUGGAGUAACGGUUCACCAGGGCGACGAUCGGUAGCUGGUCUGAGAGGACGAUCAGCCACACUGGGAUUGAGAACGGCCCAGACUCCUACGGGGGCAGCAGUGAGGAAUUUUCGUCAAUGGGGGCAACCCUGAACGAGCAACGCCGCGUGCAGGAAGAAGGCUUUCGGAUCGUAAACUGCUUUUCGUCGGGGAAGAGAACGGACGGUACCCGAGGAACUCGAGCCCCGGCUAACUACGUGCCAGCAGCCGCGGU